AGGUGUUCGGAAUCGGCAUAUACACUCCGGUUCCUCCGCGCCGUCCGCACCCACCUGACGACUGCUCGCUACGUUUUGUUAGCC
Molecule: small RNA, 84 nt
Filed under: Xanthomonas campestris
Lineage: Bacteria; Pseudomonadati; Pseudomonadota; Gammaproteobacteria; Lysobacterales; Lysobacteraceae
Description: sRNA sX9
Rfam family: Xanthomonas sRNA sX9
Source: RNAcentral